Molecule: ribosomal RNA, 510 nt
Filed under: uncultured bacterium
Lineage: Bacteria
Description: bacterial SSU rRNA
Rfam family: Bacterial small subunit ribosomal RNA
Source: RNAcentral
AUGGCUCAGGAUGAACGCUAGCUACAGGCUUAACACAUGCAAGUCGAGGGGCAGCAGAUCGAUAGCUUGCUAUGAUGCUGGCGACCGGCGCACGGGUGAGUAACGCGUAUCCAACCUUCCCUAUAGUAGAGGAUAGCCCGGCGAAAGUCGGAUUAAUACUCUAUGUUUUCCAAUGCAGACAUCUAAGUUGGAACAAAGGUUCACCGCUAUAGGAUGGGGAUGCGUCUGAUUAGGUUGUUGGCGGGGUAACGGCCCACCAAGCCUACGAUCAGUAGGGGUUCUGAGAGGAAGGUCCCCCACAUUGGAACUGAGACACGGUCCAAACUCCUACGGGAGGCAGCAGUGAGGAAUAUUGGUCAAUGGGCGAGAGCCUGAACCAGCCCAAGUAGCGUGCAGGAUGACGGCCCUAUGGGUUGUAAACUGCUUUUAUACGGGGAUAAAGUGAGGGACGUGUCCCUUUUUGUAGGUACCGUAUGAAUAAGGACCGGCUAAUUCCGUGCCAGCCGCCGC